This 433-nucleotide ribosomal RNA is filed under the name uncultured bacterium. RNAcentral describes it as "partial 16S ribosomal RNA". It matches the Rfam family "Bacterial small subunit ribosomal RNA", at positions 29 to 507 of the family's 1533-position model. The record is from RNAcentral.
AACGAACGCUGGCGGCAUGCCUAACACAUGCCAGUCGAACGAGACCUUCGGGCCUAGUGGCGCACGGGUGCGUAACGCGUGGGAACCUGCCCUUAGGUUCGGAAUAACUCCCCGAAAGGGGUGCUAAUACCGGAUAAUGUCUUCCGACCAAAGAUUUAUCGCCUUUGGAUGGGCCCGCGUUGGAUUAGCUGGUUGGUAGGGUAAAAGCCUGCCAAGGCGACGAUGCAUAGCUGGUCUGAGAGGAUGACCCGCCACACUGGGACUGAGACACGGCCCAGAAUCCUACGGGAGGGAGGAGUGGGGAAUAUUGGACAAUGGGCGAAAGCCUAAUACAGCAAUGCCGCGUGAGUGAUGAAGGCCUUAGGGUUGUAAAGCUCUUUUACCCGGGAUGAUAAUGACAGUACCGGGAGAAUAAGCACCGGCUAACUACGUG